This 450-nucleotide ribosomal RNA is filed under the name uncultured bacterium. RNAcentral describes it as "partial 16S ribosomal RNA". It matches the Rfam family "Bacterial small subunit ribosomal RNA", at positions 354 to 796 of the family's 1533-position model. The record is from RNAcentral.
GUGGGGAAUUUUGGACAAUGGGCGCAAGCCUGAUCCAGCCAUGCCGCGUGAGUGAAGAAGGCCUUCGGGUUGUAAAGCUCUUUCGGCCGGGAAGAAAUCGGCGACUCUAACAUAGUCGCUGGAUGACGGUACCGGACUAAGAAGCACCGGCUAACUACGUGCCAGCAGCCGCGGUAAUACGUAGGGUGCGAGCGUUAAUCGGAAUUACUGGGCGUAAAGCGUGCGCAGGCGGUUUUGUAAGACAGAUGUGAAAUCCCCGGGCUUAACCUGGGAACUGCGUUUGUGACUGCAAGGCUAGAGUACGGCAGAGGGGGGUGGAAUUCCUGGUGUAGCAGUGAAAUGCGUAGAUAUCAGGAGGAACACCGAUGGCGAAGGCAGCCCCCUGGGCCUGUACUGACGCUCAUGCACGAAAGCGUGGGGAGCAAACAGGAUUAGAAACCCUAGUAGUCC